RNAcentral lists this ribosomal RNA (576 nucleotides) under Ectopleura dumortierii. RNAcentral's name for it is "partial 16S ribosomal RNA". It matches the Rfam family "Bacterial large subunit ribosomal RNA", at positions 1817 to 2597 of the family's 2925-position model. Lineage: Eukaryota; Metazoa; Cnidaria; Hydrozoa; Anthoathecata; Tubulariidae. The record is from RNAcentral.
AGCCUUUAGCUCUAAUUAAAGGUGAUACCUGCCCAGUGGAGGUAAAUUGAUUAAUUAUAAUCUAUUUUUAAUAUCUUUAAACGGAUGCGGUAACUCUGACUGUAAUAAAGUAGCAUAAUUAGUUGUCAUUUAAUUGGUGGAGAGAAUGAAUGGUUAAACGAACGCUUCAUUGUCUUAGAGGGGAGUUUUUGAAAUUAGAAAAAUAGUGAAGAUCCUAUUUUUUACCGUUAGACGAAAAGACCCUAUAGAGCUUAACUAUAAUCCGUAAUAAUUUUGUUAUGGGUGGGUAGUUUAGUUGGGGCGACUAUCUUUUAUAAAUAACAAAGAUAAGCAUAAUAAUAUAAUUUAAUUACUGUUUAACUAAUUUUUUUAACAGUUACUAAAGUAGGCUAUAAUGACCCAUUAGGUAAAGAAAUUCACCUAAUGAUUAAUAAAUAAAAGCUACCUUAGGGAUAACAGGAUAAUUUUGUUUUAGAGAUCAAAUCAAAUACAAAGUUUGUCACCUCUAUGUUGAAUUGAGAUAACCAAACAAUGCAGAAGUUGUUUAAGGUAGGUCUGUUCGACCUUUAAAAUCUU